This 414-nucleotide ribosomal RNA is filed under the name Triticum aestivum (bread wheat). RNAcentral's name for it is "partial small subunit ribosomal RNA". The record is from RNAcentral. Lineage: Eukaryota; Viridiplantae; Streptophyta; Magnoliopsida; Poales; Poaceae.
AUGAACUUCGACGACAUCCACACGCUCCAGCAGGCGCUGGACGUCGCCCCGCCGCCUCGUCUUCGCACGGCACAAGACCGUGCAGAGCACGCUGAGCGGCAGCGCCGCCUCCUCGUCGCCCAUGAGGACGAGCGGACCAUGGCGAAGUGGCGCCGGCGCCACCCGGAGGACGUCACCUACGAGCAAGCCUACUGGGCAAGGCGCCGCGAGGAGGACACGCAAAGGCGCCGCGCCGAGCGGUUGGAUAGGCGUCGGCGAAAGGCUCUGGCGAUAUCGCAGUGCGGCAUCGUUCAAAAUGGUGGGCAGUCGAUCUUUUCGGCUGAUGAUGACCGUUGGUUGGACAUGUGGAUCGAUACCUCGGACCAGACAAGCGAGGAUGGCGACGAUGACGAUGACGACGACGACUGGGAGUAG